RNAcentral lists this ribosomal RNA (253 nucleotides) under uncultured bacterium. Its description in RNAcentral is "partial 16S ribosomal RNA". It matches the Rfam family "Bacterial small subunit ribosomal RNA", at positions 524 to 776 of the family's 1533-position model. The record is from RNAcentral.
AACGUAGGAGGCAAGCGUUAUCCGGAGUUACUGGGCGUAAAGCGCGUGUAGGUGGUUUCGCAAGUCCGGUGUGAAAGCCCAGGGCUCAACCCUGGAAGUGCAUUGGAUACUACGGAGCUGGAGUCCUGAAGAGGAGAGCGGAAUUCCCGGUGUAGAGGUGAAAUUCGUAGAUAUUCGGAAGAACACCAGCGGCGAAGGCGGCUCACUGGUCCGGUACUGACGCUGAGGUGCGAAAGCGUGGGGAGCAAACAGG